Molecule: long non-coding RNA, 391 nt
Organism: Myotis davidii
Lineage: Eukaryota; Metazoa; Chordata; Mammalia; Chiroptera; Vespertilionidae
Exons: 3
Source: RefSeq, a predicted model, not a curated record
AAUCCAUCUAUAAAUAUUCAAACACAACAACCACAUGGAAGCACUCUUGUGGAGCAGGGGUGGGGAACCUUUUUCUGCCAAGGGCCAUGUGGAUACUUAUAACAUCAUUCGUGAGCCAUACAAAAUUAACAACUUAAAAACUAGCCCGCUAUAUUUGAUCAUUUAACUAAGCUCCCUGCUUCUCUUUGGUGAGGCGCCCAUCAUGAGAGGCAGGUUACCCUCCUCACCCAGAUGUAUUUGGUGAGGUGUGUAGCUGGUAUUGAUGAUGUUACUACUCUCAACUGCUUUUUCAGGUCAGUCUGGAGUGCAGUCGACUCUGGGCGAUGGUAAGUUUUGAAAAGAACGGUUACAGGAUUCCAGGGCAGAGACAGGAAAACUGAAACAGGAAAGU